RNAcentral lists this long non-coding RNA (337 nucleotides) under Setaria viridis. RNAcentral describes it as "long non-coding RNA (SVIR_LNC000486)". The record is from RNAcentral. Lineage: Eukaryota; Viridiplantae; Streptophyta; Magnoliopsida; Poales; Poaceae.
CACAUGUGUCCACAUUAUUAGUUCAACAUCUCGAUGUCCAUGACUUGUGAAACAUAGUCAUCAACUAAUACAUGUGCUAGUCUAAUACUCAUGUGUGUCCUUACAUGAACUCCGACUAGGGACAACUUUAGAAUAACCAUACAAGUAAAGAGUUUCACAUACAAUUCACAUAAUUGCAAAUCAAUUCAAGCAGCCUUUAAUGGAUAUUCAAUGAACACAAUAUACAAAUCAUGGAUACAAAUGGAAUAUCAUCAUCUCUAUGAUUGCCUCUAGGGCAUACCUCCAACACUCUCCACAUCAACUCACCCUUGCAUGGCAACUCUACCCUACACUUGAC